This 297-nucleotide signal recognition particle RNA is filed under the name Microcebus murinus (gray mouse lemur). RNAcentral's name for it is "Metazoan signal recognition particle RNA (ENSMICG00000036739.2)". It matches the Rfam family "Metazoan signal recognition particle RNA". From Rfam's summary of the family: The signal recognition particle (SRP) is a universally conserved ribonucleoprotein. It is involved in the co-translational targeting of proteins to membranes. Lineage: Eukaryota; Metazoa; Chordata; Mammalia; Primates; Cheirogaleidae. The record is from RNAcentral.
GCUGGGUGUGGUGGCCUACACCUGUAGUCCCAGCUACUCCAGAGGCUGAGGCAGGAGGAUUGAUUUAGUCUGGGAGAUCUGGGCUGUAGUGUGCUAUGCUUUCAGGGUAUCUGUGCUAAAUUCAGCAUCAAUGUGGUGAGUUCCUGGAAACAGGGGACCACCAGGUUGUCUAAGGAGGGGUGACCAGUCCAGGUUGAGACCAAGCAUGUCAAAACUCUCAUGCUGAUCAGUAGUGAGAUUGCACCUGUGAGUAGCCACUGCAGUACAGCCUGGACAACAUAGUGAGACCUUGUCUCU